Molecule: ribosomal RNA, 497 nt
Filed under: uncultured bacterium
Lineage: Bacteria
Description: partial 16S ribosomal RNA
Rfam family: Bacterial small subunit ribosomal RNA
Source: RNAcentral
GAUGAACGCUGGCGGCGUGCCUAAUACAUGCAAGUCGAGCGAACAGAUGAGGAGCUUGCUCCUCUGACGUUAGCGGCGGACGGGUGAGUAACACGUGGAUAACCUACCUAUAAGACUGGGAUAACUUCGGGAAACCGGAGCUAAUACCGGAUAAUAUAUUGAACCGCAUGGUUCAAUAGUGAAAGACGGUUUUGCUGUCACUUAUAGAUGGAUCCGCGCCGCAUUAGCUAGUUGGUAAGGUAACGGCUUACCAAGGCAACGAUGCGUAGCCGACCUGAGAGGGUGAUCGGCCACACUGGAACUGAGACACGGUCCAGACUCCUACGGGAGGCAGCAGUAGGGAAUCUUCCGCAAUGGGCGAAAGCUUGACGGAGCAACGCCGCGUGAGUGAUGAAGGUCUUCGGAUCGUAAAACUCUGUUAUUAGGGAAGAACAAAUGUGUAAGUAACUUUGCACGUCUUGACGGUACCUAAUCAGAAAGCCACGGCUAACUACGUG